CGUUCUGCUGUGCAGGCAGGCAUGGGCAGCUGUAAUAAAUCUGCACAAGUACAGCAAGCUGUGGGCUGUGGCCCGAGGUGAAGAUGGGGAAAGCCGAGUGAACAGUUGAUGGGAAGGAGUUGGACAGUGCGCAGGGUACAGCAAGGUAUGGUGCGGCAAACUUGCUCUGAAGCUCUGCAGGUUUGACGCGGAGACUAUCUCCGAGGCCAGAUCUUGAGGGCGGACCGACCGACCACUGGUAGCCACGGCAUGGGAUGACGGGAAUAAAGUGGAUUUUCAAUCUCACGAUGGUUCCCUGGAUCGUCUUCAUAUAUUUAUGAGAUCUCUAUAUUGAAUGGGUUCUUUCCUAGGAUAGUGCCGAGAUGGAAGCAUCGACCGUGCAAGACGUCAAAAACUCAUCUUCAGUUUUGGAGUGCACGGGUAAGAGGUAAGGGUGAUAAUAAGAACAAAAAGGGGAGGAAUGGACCAGAAAGCGGAGAAGAAAAAAGGCCGGGCAAGAAAUUUUCUCGGCCUUCAAUAUGAAAACCUGAGAACAAGUCCAAGACAUAAAAAAAGGCUCCCUGGCCAGGUCCUUCUGGCGUCCGACGACGAUGGUGACGUGGUCCUUGCCGUCGAUGACCCUGACCUGGGCGCGCGGGACCUUGGCCUUGACCGCGUGGCUGCACUGCACGGGGAGGAGCUCGUCGUCGCUGCCGUGGUAGACGGUGACGUCGCAGGCGAGCUGGUCCCUGACCACCUCGAGCCACCCGUCGAUCUUGCCCGCGCUGCCGCAGAUGAUG
Molecule: unclassified non-coding RNA, 779 nt
Filed under: Zea mays
Lineage: Eukaryota; Viridiplantae; Streptophyta; Magnoliopsida; Poales; Poaceae
Description: misc RNA Zm00001eb021770
Source: RNAcentral